UUUCCGUAGGUGAACCUGCGGAAGGAUCAUUACCACACCUAAAAAACUUUCCACGUGAACUGUCGUUAUUUGUUGUGUGUGUGCGCGUUGCUGGCGUGCGUUUGCUUACGCUUGUGUGUUUGCGAGUGCGUGGUGGCGGUGCGCGGACUGAACGAAGGUCGUGUUGCGUGUGUGUGCCUGCUGCACUGCUGACUUUGCAUUCAUUUGCAUGGUGUUGGCGGAGCGUUGGGUGCUGUGCGUGCGCGGCUGACUUAUUUUUUCAAACCCCAUACCUAAAUGACUGAUUAUACUGUGAGAACGAAAGUUCUUGCUUUGAACUAGAUAACAACUUUCAGCAGUGGAUGUCUAGGCUCGC
This 355-nucleotide unclassified non-coding RNA is filed under the name soil metagenome. RNAcentral describes it as "partial contains small subunit ribosomal RNA, internal transcribed spacer 1, and 5.8S ribosomal RNA". The record is from RNAcentral.